AUUGAACGCUGGCGGCAUGCCUUACACAUGCAAGUCGAACGGCAGCACGGGUGCUUGCACCUGGUGGCGAGUGGCGAACGGGUGAGUAAUACAUCGGAACAUGUCCUGUAGUGGGGGAUAGCCCGGCGAAAGCCGGAUUAAUACCGCAUACGAUCCACGGAUGAAAGCGGGGGACCUUCGGGCCUCGCGCUAUAGGGUUGGCCCAUGGCUGAUUAGCUAGUUGGGGGGGUAAAGGCCUACCAAGGCGACGAUCAGUAGCUGGUCUGAGAGGACGACCAGCCACACUGGGACUGAGACACGGACAAGACGACUACGGGAGGCAGCAGUGGGGAAUUUUGGACAAUGGGCGAAAGCCUGAUCCAGCAAUGCCGCGUGUGUGAAGAAGGCCUUCGGGUUGUAAAGCACUUUUGUCCGGAAAGAAAUCCUUGGCUCUAAUACAGUCGGGGGAUGACGGUACCGGAAGAAUAAGCACCGGCUAACUACGUG
Molecule: ribosomal RNA, 486 nt
Filed under: uncultured bacterium
Lineage: Bacteria
Description: partial 16S ribosomal RNA
Rfam family: Bacterial small subunit ribosomal RNA
Source: RNAcentral